UGAUUGAGGAAUUUUACAUUUUGAUGCUAGUCUUUCUGCAAUCUGUAUAUAUUCAUGAAUUUGUCAUUUUAACUCUCAGCCUGUGUUUCAUAAUCGCUUUCGCUAAUGACAGUUUGUUCUCAAAUUCCGAAUGUAAUUCAUCAAAUUUCCUUUCUUAAUCAUGUAAUAUCAUAAUCAUAAUGCAAUGGCUUCACUAAGACUAAUAAUCUUCACUCAAGAAAUUUUUUCUUGAAAUUUGAAUUCA
This 244-nucleotide long non-coding RNA is filed under the name Olea europaea (common olive). RNAcentral's name for it is "long non-coding RNA (OEUR_LNC010661)". Lineage: Eukaryota; Viridiplantae; Streptophyta; Magnoliopsida; Lamiales; Oleaceae. The record is from RNAcentral.